RNAcentral lists this ribosomal RNA (842 nucleotides) under uncultured bacterium. Its description in RNAcentral is "bacterial SSU rRNA". It matches the Rfam family "Bacterial small subunit ribosomal RNA", at positions 61 to 903 of the family's 1533-position model. The record is from RNAcentral.
GUCGAACGAGGGUCCUUCGGGACUCGAGUGGCGAACGGGUGAGUAACACGUAGGGAACCUGCCCGUGCGACCGGGAGAACUUUCGGAAACGGAAGCUGAUACCGGAUAGGGACAGAGACGGCAUCGACUCUGUGUUAAAGGAGCUGAAAGGCUCCGCGCACGGAUGGACCUGCGGUGCAUUAGCUGGUUGGUGAGGUAACGGCCCACCAAGGCGACGAUGCAUAGCCGGCCUGAGAGGGCGGACGGCCACACUGGGACUGAGACACGGCCCAGACUCCUACGGGAGGCAGCAGUAGGGAAUUUUCGUCAAUGGGCGCAAGCCUGAACGAGCAAUGCCGCGUGAACGAGGAAGGUCUUCGGAUCGUAAAGUUCUGUUGAAGGGGAAAAAGAGCGGAGAGAGGAAAUGGUCUCCGAUUGAUAUUACCCUUCGAGGAAGUCACGGCUAACUACGUGCCAGCAGCCGCGGUAAUACGUAGGUGGCGAGCGUUAUCCGGAAUGAUUGGGCGUAAAGGGUGCGUAGGCGGCCUGCUAAGUCUGGAGUGAAAGGUACCGGCUCAACCGGUACAGGCUCUGGAAACUGGCGGGCUAGAGAGCAGGAGAGGGCGGUGGAACUCCAUGUGUAGCGGUAAAAUGCGUAGAUAUAUGGAAGAACACCAGUGGCGAAGGCGGCCGCCUGGCCUGUUACUGACGCUGAGGCACGAAAGCGUGGGGAGCAAAUAGGAUUAGAUACCCUAGUAGUCCACGCCGUAAACGAUGAGGACCAAGUGUUGGGGAAGACCCAGUGCUGCAGUUAACGCAGUGAGUCCUCCGCCUGGGGAGUAUGCACGCAAGUGUGAAACUCA